RNAcentral lists this long non-coding RNA (1123 nucleotides) under Homo sapiens (human). Its description in RNAcentral is "non-protein coding lnc-VSTM5-1:7". The stretch from base 800 to 872 matches the Rfam family "Small nucleolar RNA SNORD5". The record is from RNAcentral. Lineage: Eukaryota; Metazoa; Chordata; Mammalia; Primates; Hominidae.
ACUAAUUAGGUCAUCGAAGAUUCUGUCAUCUCGAUGAUAAAUUUUAAUAUUACAGAGCAGAGGAUGAGGAUGCAACACAUCUUGAAGAUAACGAAUGUGAUAUCAAAUUGGCAGUAAGUGACUUAUUUUUUUCCUAUUCCAUUUUGGGAAGGCAGGAGUUGGUUGAUACAGAAGGAAUUAUAUUUAGUUUUUCUCUUACACUUCAUUUAACUUUUGAAAAGCUCUAUAAGUUUACUGCAGGAAAUGCAAGAAGGAAAAUAAUUUUUUAGAGACUUGAUAAAGAACAUGGGGUUUUCAGUACUAUUUUUAAUAAGUAGCAUUCUGAUACAUAUUAUUGCUAGUUAGGAUGUCAAAUGAAAAAAUAAGCAAUGUUAAUUUGGAUUUUUAACAUCUACAUGUAGUCUCUAGGUUAUCUGAAGUAAUCCAGGGCAUUCAGCUAUAUGUAAUUACUAAACUAUUUGAGUUAUUGCUUAAUCCAUGAUUUUUUGUUUGUUUUAUGCAGGGGGAUAGUUUCAUAGUAAGUUCUGAAUUCCCUGUAAGACUGAGUGUAUACUUAGAAGAAGAGGAUAUUACUGAAGAAGCUGCUUUGUCUAAAAAGAGAGCUACAAAAGCCAAAAAUACUGGACAGAGAGGCCUGAAAAUGUGACAGGAUCAUGAAUGUCAAAGGCUUUUAUCUUGAGAACAUGGUGUCUGGAGUUAAAGGUAUUGGCAUACUCCACACAUCUGUACCAUUCUUGAGUGAUCGCUUAGGUAAGUUUUAAUUGGUGACAGUAUAAUCUUUUGGGAAAUAAUGAUUACAGUUCAGAUGAUGAAUUUAACUGUUCAACUGCUGAAUGAUAACGGGCAUGAACUAAAACUUAAUUCUGACAGAGCUGGAUAUGGCUGUAUAAUAAACUGGAUCUUAAAUUUAUACUUGGGUUUUAGUUUUAAUAACUGGAAAUGUAUCCUUUCUAAAUCUUUAAUUGGUACUUUCUAUAGGAAUGAAUGUGAUUUGAACUCAUUCAUGUUGAGAGGUAAGUAAAAUAUUUAACUUAUAAUAAUCAAGGACUCAAAAGAUGAAAAAUAGAAAUUACACCAUCCCAGUAUUUCAGGUAUAACACAGAAUUAGUAAGAUACUGGCAAA